UUGAGAUGUAAAACUUGAUUAUAAAUAAUUUACUUGAGUAUUACGAGUUGUAAAAUAUUGUUUUAUGCAGAAAUCUUAAAACUCAAAAGACUUGGCGGUAUCUUAGGUCCUUCUAGGGGAACCUGUCCUAUAAUCGAUAGUCCACGAUUUAUCUUUCCUUUCCUUGAAAAUAGUCAGCUUGUAUACCGUCGUCGUCAGAUUACCUUUAAGAGUGAAAUAAGUUAUCAGAAAGAAGGCUACUGUUUAGCGAUUGUCUUGACUUUGAUAAGUUAAGGUUAAUGUAAAAGUAAUUUUCUAGAUGUCAGAUCAAGGUGCAGCCCAUGGGAAGGUAGAGAUGGGUUACAAUAAUUAUUUAUUAUCUACGGAUUUCUUAUUGAAAUUAUAAGAACUAAAGGCGGACUUAGAAGUAAUUAACAAGAGAAAUAGAAAGUCUCGGUGAAAAUGGCACUAAGAUGUG
Molecule: ribosomal RNA, 457 nt
Filed under: Tegula montereyi
Lineage: Eukaryota; Metazoa; Mollusca; Gastropoda; Trochida; Tegulidae
Description: Chlorostoma montereyi partial 12S ribosomal RNA
Source: RNAcentral